Molecule: ribosomal RNA, 484 nt
Filed under: uncultured bacterium
Lineage: Bacteria
Description: partial 16S ribosomal RNA
Rfam family: Bacterial small subunit ribosomal RNA
Source: RNAcentral
AUUGAACGCUGGCGGCAGGCCUAACACAUGCAAGUCGAGCGGAUGAAGGGAGCUUGCUCCUGGAUUCAGCGGCGGGCGGGUGAGUAAUGCCUAGGAAUCUGCCUGGUAGUGGGGGAUAACGUCCGGAAACGGGCGCUAAUACCGCAUACGUCCUGAGGGAGAAAGUGGGGGAUCUUCGGACCUCACGCUAUCAGAUGAGCCUAGGUCGGAUUAGCUAGUUGGUGGGGUAAAGGCCUACCAAGGCGACGAUCCGUAACUGGUCUGAGAGGAUGAUCAGUCACACUGGAACUGAGACACGGUCCAGACUCCUACGGGAGGCAGCAGUGGGGAAUAUUGGACAAUGGGCGAAAGCCUGAUCCAGCCAUGCCGCGUGUGUGAAGAAGGUCUUCGGAUUGUAAAGCACUUUAAGUUGGGAUGAAGGGCAGUAAGUUAAUACCUUGCUGUUUUGACGUUACCAACAGAAUAAGCACCGGCUAACUUCGUG